Molecule: long non-coding RNA, 204 nt
Filed under: Priapulus caudatus
Lineage: Eukaryota; Metazoa; Priapulida; Priapulimorpha; Priapulimorphida; Priapulidae
Description: uncharacterized LOC106820576, transcript variant X1
Source: RNAcentral
CGUUAUGAGUUUAGAGGUAAGGGGUUUAGAGGCAAGGGGUUUAAGGUAGAGUUUAGACGUCAUGAGUUUAGAGGUAAGGGGUUCAGAGGCGAGGGGUUUAAGGUAGAGUUUAGACGUUAUGAGUUUAGAUGUAAGGGGUUCAGAGGCGAGGAGUUUAAGGUAGAGUUUAGACGUUAUGAGUUUAGAGGCGAGGGGUUCAGAGGC